UGAAAAUAAUGUUAAAUUAUAUUCAAUGAAAAAUAGCGUUUGUACAACUAGUGCAUCAUGAGAUUGAAAUGAGUUACAAGAAUUUGCUACUUAAUUUCGAGAGUCGAACCAAGUUUGUAAUCCCUUAU
Molecule: small RNA, 128 nt
Filed under: Arabidopsis thaliana (thale cress)
Lineage: Eukaryota; Viridiplantae; Streptophyta; Magnoliopsida; Brassicales; Brassicaceae
Description: ATSL215870
Source: RNAcentral